ACAAUUGUACUCAUUUUGUAAUUUCACUUCUCAUGGAUCUCCUCUUAUUGUCCGCUGGCAAACUUCUGCAAGAUGGGAGAACUCAAGAAACUGGUUGAAGAGGGGAAAAUAAAAUAUGUUGGUCUCUCAGAGGCCUCUGCUUCUACAAUCCGAAGGGCUCAUGCCGUUCAUCCAUUAACUGCUGUUCAGAUGGAGUGGUCCUUGUGGUCAAGAGAUUUAGAAAAAGAAAUAAUUCCUACCUGCAGGUAAGGAGUCUUCUGCAUUUGUCAAUAAUCUUAUAACUUCUACAAGAUAAUUAUGUGUUGUUUUCGUCUGUCUUAUUAUUAGGGAACUUGGUAUUGGAAUUGUCCCAUACAGUCCUCUUGGACGUGGUUUCUUUUCAACAGGUCCCAAAUUGAUUGAAAACUUUUCAGAGGGUGACAGUCGUAAGGUUGGUCCAUAUUCAUUCACGUGUAACCUUCUUGGUAUUCAUUUGUGCUGAAUACUUGUUAACUUCAUGUUUUUGCAUCGAGAUUACAUUUAAUUAUUGCUAGCAUCUUUUUGCAUGUUUGGCAAAGCUUAUAAUUAAUUAUAAGCUUGUUAAACUUUUACUUAAUUCUACCCAGUUAUUAUCCACACGUUUCUUAGGACCUACAACUCAUAAUCUAAUUAAAGGUUUGCCAACUAUUUUACUUAUUACUCCCUAAAUUAAAUUUUUCAAACCAGGGAGCUUAGAAAAUUUGUCAAGCCAGCAUUAAUGUUAAGACAAGGUUCCAAGAAAUGUUGUCCUUUUUAUUAACAAUUACGUUUAAGAUAGGCAUUGUAGCCUUUUAUGCUUAAAGGGCGCCUUUUAUUCUCUAGUUAUGAUCGCAAACCAAGUUUCCUCUUGAGAAGACUGCCCACCCGAAAUCAAAUCUUAAAAAGAAAAAAGUUGAAUUUAUUCUUUCGCUAUAAAUUGAAGUGGAAUUGUUUGGUAUACAUUGAUGAAUUCAAAUGCAUAUGCUGAUACAUUGAUGAAUUCAGGUAGUACAUCUGUUAGAUAUGGUUUCAAGGACCUCUGCCUUCUUUUUCCGACCAGAUUUUGAUAUUGCAUGAGAUAAUAUGAGCGCUGUCUUUGCGUGAUCACUUUGAAAUUUAUAAAUGCUCCAGCUUUAAGGGUGAAAUCUCACAUUGAUUACAUAGAAAAAAUACUAACUAAUGUUUAAGAACUUAAACUACUCCUAUUAGUUCUUGUUUUGAAGUGCUUAAAUUUAGAUUUAAGUAACAGUUCCCACAAAAUAUGCGAUAAAAAGUUUGUUUGAAAUUAUAAUUUAAGCUUUGCCACUUGAUAAGGUUCACAUUAUAAGAUGGAACCCAAAAUUCAAUAGUAUCAAAGCCCGUUUACCUCACAAAAGCAAUUUGAUCUAUCUAAAGCUCAAAUGAGCAUUCAAAUUUCAGGAGUGCAAAUGAGUCAUGACUUUACCGGGGCAUGUAUGAUAAUACUAACCAAUCAUAUGAAGGCAAGACCCAAUAUCUAGAUAUAGCUUGUAAUCUCUCUCUCUCUCUCUCUCUCUCUCACACACACACACACACACACACACACAUGUUAACAUAUACACACAAAAGAAAAUUAAGGUUUUGGGUUCACGUAUAUCUGCUGUGUAAGAUUCAACUUUUGAAGACAUAUUUGCAACGUGUAAGGUUUCGGGUUAAAGUAUAUUUGCAAUGUUUACUUGCUGAUGAAAAUUGUUUGACUUUUGUAGACAUUUCCGAGGUUCCACCCAGAAAAUCUUGAAACUAACAAACUAGUAUUCGAAAGGGUUAGUGAAAUGGCUACGAGGAAAGGUUGCACCCCGUCCCAACUAGCAUUGGCUUGGGUUCAUCACCAAGGAGAUGAUGUUUGUCCAAUACCUGGUACCACUAAGAUUGAGAACUUGAACCAGAAUAUUCAAGCUUUAUCUGUGAAAUUGACACCCGAAGAGAUGGCUGAACUUGAAUCCUAUGCUUCAGCUGACGUGGUUAAGGGCGACAGACACGUUUUCAUGGAAUCCACAUGGCUAAACUCAGAGACACCCCCGCUAUCCUCUUGGAAGCCCGAGUAGGCAUUGCCUUUGCUGUUUCACCCCGAGUACUGAACUGAUUCUCCCAGUCAGUUAAAUAAAUAAAACCUGUAUGUUUACUAGCAGAUAUGAGUGGAAGUAUUCAGUUCAGGUAUUAAUAUAUGCUGUUAUGAUUUCAAUUAUUGUGUUUCUGCUAUUUUAGCAUUAAAGAUUUCUCUAUGUAUUUGCAGCCAGUAACUCAAUGUUCAUCGUUCAUAAAAGGCUG
RNAcentral lists this long non-coding RNA (2283 nucleotides) under Olea europaea subsp. europaea. Lineage: Eukaryota; Viridiplantae; Streptophyta; Magnoliopsida; Lamiales; Oleaceae. The record is from RNAcentral.